GUCUCUGUACCCAGGCCAACCUGGAGCUCGCUCACUGUGCAGUUAACGAGUUGUCCACACGAGCAGCAUGGGUGACCGAUGAGAGUCGUCACCUUCAGCAGAGCUGAUGAAUUAUCCAGAACUUCUUGGGACAAGCCUAAGACAAGCACUUUCCCUGUGGAGUGGGCCUGCCACCAGUGAAUUGCUCAGGGGAGCUGGCCUCUUAGUGACCCUGGAUGUCUCCUUCUGAAAGAAACACUGGCAAGAACCAUGGAAUGUAAAAUCUCCGGUUACUACAGAACUGGGCAGGAGGCCUGGCUGGAGGUUAUGAUGGUUAUCUCCACUGUCAAAUUGACUGGAUUUAGAAUUACCUAGAAGAUGGAGGUACACCUCUGGGCUGUCCCGGGAAGACGUGCCCCGAAUGCCAACAGAGUGCUGUGAAUCCCCCAAAGCAGUGAGACAGAAGAAACCCUUCCUCCCCCGAGCCAUCCUGUCAGAAUGGGAAGAGAACUUCCUACAGCUCUCUGAGCCCUCCCUCAAACCACGGGAUGCUCACCCUGGAGACCACAAGCUGUGGAGGAUGGAAGAACAGUCUGGCUUUUUACGGUGGUGCUUGGAGGGCCACGCAUGGUAAGACCCUACAGACAAGGCUGCUCCGACGUUGGCCAACCCUGCUCAAGGCUGACCCUAAAGUUCCUUUCAGCCUAGAACCAGGAACCAAAGGCUUGGGAGCCGGAGGCAAACCUGUGUGUCAUCGGGGGACAACUGGACGGCAGGAGUAACCUGAUUUUUCCAGUCCUGGCUCAUGAUAGCCAUGCCAGUGCCCACGUGGCUGGAGGUGCCUCCCACCCCUGCAAAGGCUGUGAUGAUCCCAGAAACGAAAGACUCUGCAGACACGUUCUGAUCCCACGCCAAGGGAAAGGCAGAAGCUCGGGAUGUGAAGAACCUGACCUUGGCCUAACCUUCCUCCCAGAUUAGCCUGAACUGACAAUGUCCUUGAUAGGACAUUUGCUUUCUUGCCCAGAGGGUCAUCAGUCAGAGAUCCAUUUUGAAAAACAUUCUGAAAAGUGAACUUCAAAGGGCCCUGGAGAAGGGGCCCACUGGGGAAGGACUGUUGAAUGCCCCUGCCCUCCACCAAGUGCUGGGAUUAAAGUUGUUUGUCACCACA
Long non-coding RNA from Mesocricetus auratus (golden hamster), 1147 nucleotides. RefSeq lists it as uncharacterized. The transcript is spliced from 3 exons. The record is from RefSeq and is a predicted model, not a curated record. Lineage: Eukaryota; Metazoa; Chordata; Mammalia; Rodentia; Cricetidae.